Molecule: ribosomal RNA, 499 nt
Filed under: uncultured bacterium
Lineage: Bacteria
Description: bacterial SSU rRNA
Rfam family: Bacterial small subunit ribosomal RNA
Source: RNAcentral
UGGGGAAUAUUGCGCAAUGGGGGAAACCCUGACGCAGCCAUGCCGCGUGAGUGAAGAAGGUCUUCGGAUCGUAAAGCUCUUUCAACGGUGAAGAUGAUGACGGUAGCCGUAGAAGAAGCCCCGGCUAACUUCGUGCCAGCAGCCGCGGUAAUACGAAGGGGGUUAGCGUUGUUCGGAAUUACUGGGCGUAAAGCGCACGUAGGCGGACCAGAAAGUUGGGGGUGAAAUCCCGGGGGCUCAACCCCGGAACUGCCUCCAAAACUAUUGGUCUAGAGUUCGAGAGAGGUGAGUGGAAUUCCAAGUGUAGAGGUGAAAUUCGUAGAUAUUUGGAGGAACACCAGUGGCGAAGGCGGCUCACUGGCUCGAUACUGACGCUGAGGUGCGAAAGUGUGGGGAGCAAACAGGAUUAGAUACCCUGGUAGUCCACACCGUAAAACGAUGAAUGCCAGUCGUCGGGUAGCAUGCUAUUCGGUGACACACCUAACGGAUUAAGCAUUCC